This 253-nucleotide ribosomal RNA is filed under the name uncultured bacterium. Its description in RNAcentral is "partial 16S ribosomal RNA". It matches the Rfam family "Bacterial small subunit ribosomal RNA", at positions 524 to 776 of the family's 1533-position model. The record is from RNAcentral.
UACGUAGGGGGCUAGCGUUGUCCGGAUUUAUUGGGCGUAAAGAGCGUGUAGGCGGCCAGGUAGGUCUGGUGUGAAAACUCGAGGCUUAACCUCGAGAUGUCAUCGGAAACCAUCUGGCUAGAGUCCGGAAGAGGCGAGUGGAAUUCCUGGUGUAGCGGUGAAAUGCGCAGAUAUCAGGAAGAACACCUAUGGCGAAAGCAGCUCUCUGGGACGGUACUGACGCUGAGACGCGAAAGCGUGGGGAGCGAACAGG